Molecule: non-coding RNA, 450 nt
Organism: Microcebus murinus (gray mouse lemur)
Lineage: Eukaryota; Metazoa; Chordata; Mammalia; Primates; Cheirogaleidae
Source: RefSeq, a predicted model, not a curated record
AAGAAGAAAGGCUAGACCACAUUUGGGUUCUAGCCCCAGGAAUCUUUGACAGGAAGCGCGGGUUGCUGCCUUGCCUCCCACGCAGAGUAUCUUUUGAUGCCCCCUCUUAUAUAUUGUAGACAGUGCUGAAUGGCUGAGAAGAAUCCCAGAGGACUCUUAAAAGGAAUUCUAGUAGAAAAUCCCUGCAGAAUCUGGAAUAACAGUUUGAAAGUUGGAGUAUUUUCUUCUUAUUCCUCAUUUAAGAGUGAGUAAUGGACAGAAAAAAAAGACAAAAGUAACAGGUAUUGAAAUGAUACUAUUGUCAUACAUUUACCAUAAUCAGUGGGAUAUCAAUUUGUAGGUUACAAGUAUUGUAAUUUGAAAAUGCCAAGAGUGUGGCCUAAAUUCUUAUUUGCACCUUUUCCUUUUCUUUCUUUCUCUUUAUUCAUUAAUUUAUUUUUUUUUGAGACA